AAAUAUAUCAACGAUAUAAUAGAAUAUUAUACCUAAGUUUGGAUGCAUAGACCUUAUACUAUAAUAAUUACUAAUAGACUGGCCUUGCCUAUAGACUGUAGAGGAGUAGCUGUAGUAGUAACCGGUCAGACACUCAGACAUACCUACUCACGAUUUAAAAUCGUAGACAUAGGUACUGCAGUAAUGUACAAUAUAAUGAAAUCACUAGACACAUCAGUGUUGUCAUUAUAUUUAAAUAAUAAUAUUAACAUUGUGAGGUCACAAAUCACACGCGAAGAACGCCUUUUCUCUAACCGCUCUACUUGAGUACGUGACUACGUAUACGAAAGGCCAGUCAAUUAGUCUAUGAUGAUGACCAUGAAGACUAUAAUAUUCUAAUCUUGACGAUGACGACAAUACAAUAAAGUGAUACACUGAUAACUACUGUAAAUGAUAAUAAUCAUAGAUAAUAAUGUCUUUAAUAUCUAUGAUAAUAACAGACAAUUAAUACUCGCGCUUAAAUGAACAAAAUAAAAAACCAUGACAAAUUAAAUUUAAUUUGUCAUGUAAAAAACAAUUAUAUUCUUAAAAUUUUUGAGACAGUACCUGAUCGCCUAAAGUAUGUUUCAAAUCCUUAUCUCAUGGCCAUUCGCCACUUCGCUAGUCAAAAUUAUGAACAAGUAUGAGCAACCUCGAAUAGUUGUUGUGAAGCAGAGGUGAAAUACUGAAAUAAAUAAAUGAAUAUCAGAGCACGUAGAAGUAUUACGUUAUACUCAAAGUGUUCAGACAAAUACCAACACCACUAACAGAAACACCCAGCAGCUACCACAGUAAUAACUAUAGCCGUAAUCCCGCACUUGCUGUCAAAUGAAGAAUACAUUUUUUAUGCCGAUUAUGAUUUCAAACACUAAGGAACAGCAAAAUUCAAUAAAUAAUUAGAGACUAGACUGUCUUUAAUAUAAUAACAAUACAGAGUGAAUAGAAAAAGCUAGAUAAUUCUAGGACAACACCUACAACAGUAGAGCAGAAAUCGAUUUAAUAUCAAGCAGAAUACAUCAAUAAGCACACAAGCCGUUGAACAGGGAACACCUCCUGGGUGGAAGACAGCGCCGAGGCUUUAAACAGAAUUUUAUUUUAUUCUUUUGAUACAUAACAUAACAUCAGAGCACGUAGAAGUAUUGCGUUAUACUCAAAGUGUUCAGACAAAUACCAACAUCACUAACAGAAACACCUAGCAACUACCACAGUAAUAACUAUAGCCUUAAUCCCGCACAUGCUGUCAAAUGAGGAAUAUGAGGAAUAAUUUUUUUAGGCCGGUUAUGAUUUCAAACACUAAGGAAUGGCAAAAUUCAAUAAAUAAUUAAGGACUAGACCGUCUUUAAUAUAAUAAUAAUACUGAGAUAGUAAAUAGAAACAGCUGGAUAAGUAGAAAUUGAGGUAACAGCUAAUCGAGGAGCACAUAUCAAUAUGUACACACGUCAUUGAAUAAGGAAACCCAGCACGGUGGAAGACAGCGUCGAGGCGAUAAACAGAAUAUUCUUUUAUUCUUUUGAUACAUAACACUUAAAAUUACUCCUAACAGUUUUAUAAUAAUUCUAUACACAUAAUAAUAUGUCCCUAAUAGAUUUUAUCAUUAUAUUAUGUUUGGAAAUAAACAAUGUCAAUUUUUAUUUUGCUAA
Aphis gossypii (cotton aphid) is the source of this 1658-nucleotide long non-coding RNA. RefSeq lists it as uncharacterized. The transcript has 5 exons. The record is from RefSeq and is a predicted model, not a curated record. NCBI's taxonomy places the organism in Eukaryota, Metazoa, Arthropoda, Insecta, Hemiptera, Aphididae.